RNAcentral lists this ribosomal RNA (497 nucleotides) under uncultured bacterium. RNAcentral's name for it is "partial 16S ribosomal RNA". It matches the Rfam family "Bacterial small subunit ribosomal RNA", at positions 28 to 507 of the family's 1533-position model. The record is from RNAcentral.
GAUGAACGCUGGCGGCGUGCCUAAUACAUGCAAGUCGAGCGAACAGACGAGGAGCUUGCUCCUCUGACGUUAGCGGCGGACGGGUGAGUAACACGUGGAUCACCUCCCUAUAAGACUGGGAUAACUUCGGGAAACCGGCGCUAAUCCCGGAUAAUAUAUUGAACCGCAUGGUUCAAUAGUGAAAGACGGUUUUGCUGUCACUUAUAGAUGGAUCCGCGCCGCAUUAGCUAGUUGGUAAGGUAACGGCUUACCAAGGCAACGAUGCGUAGCCGACCUGAGAGGGUGAUCGGCCACACGAGAACUGAGACACGGUCCAGACUACUACGGGAGGCAGCAGUAGGGAAUCUUCCGCAAUGGGCGAAAGCCUGACGGAGCAACGCCGCGUGAGUGAUGAAGGUCUUCGGAUCGUAAAACUCUGUUAUUAGGGAAGAACAAAUGUGUAAGUAACUAUGCACGUCUUGACGGUAACUAAUCAGAAAGCCACGGCUAACUACGUG